Long non-coding RNA from Lathyrus oleraceus (garden pea), 944 nucleotides. RefSeq lists it as uncharacterized. Lineage: Eukaryota; Viridiplantae; Streptophyta; Magnoliopsida; Fabales; Fabaceae. The record is from RefSeq and is a predicted model, not a curated record. The transcript has 2 exons.
AAGAUAUAUUAGUGAAAUUAUUACAUCAAUAUUAUAUAGCUCAAUUUUCCACACGCACCUCCCCACACAAAUCAAAACAGUCACAUGAAAUAACUCUCAAUACAUGUUUGAUUCACACAACAAAUUCACAUCACACUCUGAAAUCCCGUGAAAUCAGGGAUUUGGAAAUUGUGUGUAACGGUUUUCUCCUUCACACAAACCUCACAGGAUAUUUCAAUUCACACAAAUGACACACUCACAAAUCUUCUAUAUAACAAUACCUCUCUCACUCAUUUUAAGAGGACCCUGAUUACACCAAAUGUUGUGCAAAAAUCCCUCAAAAAAACUCACCAAGAGCUCUCUAACAAAGACCAAUUGGAGCUUCAAAUCAAAGCUCUAAGCUUAGGUCUGAGCUAAGGCCGCUCAUCAUAAUAACAUCAUUACAAUCAUCACACAUAUGCAUAAGCAAGAAGAAGGCCAAGAAAGUAGAUAGAAGACUUAUCUGAACCUCGUCGGAGAAGACGUCAUCGUCAGACUAGUUCCGGUCAAAUGAUGGAUUUGGGUUUAGGUAGGGUAAGAAGCGGGGAUGGAUUCUAGGUGUCUCACUGUGGCGUUACCGUGAGACUCAUCAACACCGCCAUGAGAGUUCUUGUCCUCCGCCGCGUUUGAUCUUUUUUUCUGGGUUCAUGUUGUUGGAUCUUUGUUUGUUCAUAGGCAAGAGAGAGGGGCCUUUGAGUUUGUUUGUUGUAAGGAUGUGUGGAAAGUGGGUUGAGUUAAUUUAUGAGAUUCCCUCAGCAAUGAUUCCCCACCAUGUCUUCAUUCCAUCUGCGACAUGUGGCAAACAGAGGUGGUCCAACCUCUAUCAUAUUUUGAUGCACUCUUAUCUCUAUUUUUGCUCAUUUUAAAUGGUAUUUUGAUGUUGUUAUAUUUGGUUUAAAUUGAAAUAAAAUGAGUAGUAACUUUAA